UACGUAGGGUGCAAGCGUUGUCCGGAAUUAUUGGGCGUAAAGAGCUCGUAGGCGGUCUGUCGCGUCGGAUGUGAAAACCCAGGGCUCAACCCUGGGCCUGCAUUCGAUACGGGCAGACUAGAGUUCGGUAGGGGAGACUGGAAUUCCUGGUGUAGCGGUGAAAUGCGCAGAUAUCAGGAGGAACACCGGUGGCGAAGGCGGGUCUCUGGGCCGAAACUGACACUGAGGGACGAGAGCUAGGGGAGCGAAUGGG
RNAcentral lists this ribosomal RNA (253 nucleotides) under uncultured bacterium. Its description in RNAcentral is "partial 16S ribosomal RNA". It matches the Rfam family "Bacterial small subunit ribosomal RNA", at positions 524 to 776 of the family's 1533-position model. The record is from RNAcentral.